This 464-nucleotide ribosomal RNA is filed under the name uncultured bacterium. RNAcentral's name for it is "bacterial SSU rRNA". It matches the Rfam family "Bacterial small subunit ribosomal RNA", at positions 355 to 832 of the family's 1533-position model. The record is from RNAcentral.
UGGGGAAUCUUGCGCAAUGGGCGAAAGCCUGACGCAGCGACGCCGCGUGUGGGAUGACGGCCUUCGGGUUGUAAACCACUGUCGGGAGGGACGAAGCUCUGACGGUACCUCCAAAGGAAGCACCGGCUAACUCUGUGCCAGCAGCCGCGGUAAUACAGAGGGUGCGAGCGUUGUCCGGAAUCACUGGGCGUAAAGGGCGCGUAGGCGGCCGGAUAAGUCGGGGGUGAAAUCCUGUGGCUCAACCACAGGGCUGCCUCCGAGACUGUCGGGCUCGAGCACAGUAGAGGCAGGUGGAAUUCCCGGUGUAGCGGUGGAAUGCGUAGAGAUCGGGAAGAACAUCGGUGGCGAAGGCGGCCUGCUGGGCUGUUGCUGACGCUGAGGCGCGACAGCGUGGGGAGCAAACAGGAUUAGAUACCCUGGUAGGUCCACGCCGUAAACGAUAGGGCACUAGGCGUCGGGGGAGC